Molecule: ribosomal RNA, 253 nt
Filed under: uncultured bacterium
Lineage: Bacteria
Description: partial 16S ribosomal RNA
Rfam family: Bacterial small subunit ribosomal RNA
Source: RNAcentral
UACGUAGGUGGCAAGCGUUGUCCGGAAUUACUGGGUGUAAAGGGCGUGUAGGCGGGACUGCAAGUCAGAUGUGAAAUCCCGGGGCUUAACCCCGGAGCUGCAUCUGAAACUGUGGUUCUUGAGUGCUGGAGAGGGAAGCGGAAUUCCUAGUGUAGCGGUGAAAUGCGUAGAUAUUAGGAGGAACACCAGUGGCGAAGGCGGCUUUCUGGACAGUAACUGACGCUGAGGCGCGAAAGCGUGGGGAGCAAACAGG